GAAGGUAAAGUUUGUGGGCCUAAACAUUCCCCCUUGGAUACCUCGGAAGGGAAAGACCGCAGGUUCGAAUCCUGCUACCUUCG
Molecule: transfer RNA, 83 nt
Filed under: Enterococcus sp.
Lineage: Bacteria; Bacillati; Bacillota; Bacilli; Lactobacillales; Enterococcaceae
Description: tRNA-OTHER
Rfam family: tRNA
About the family: Transfer RNA (tRNA) molecules are approximately 80 nucleotides in length. Their secondary structure includes four short double-helical elements and three loops (D, anti-codon, and T loops).
Source: RNAcentral